GACGAACGCUGGCGGCGUGCUUAACACAUGCAAGUCGAGCGGUAAGGCCCUUUCGGGGGUACACGAGCGGCGAACGGGUGAGUAACACGUGGGUGACCUGCCCUCAGCUCUGGGAUAAGCCUGGGAAACCGGGUCUAAUACUGGAUAUGACUCCAUGACGCAUGUUGUGGGGUGGAAAGCCUUGUGCGGCUGAGGAUGGGCCCGCGGCCCAUCAGCUUGUUGGUGGGGUGAGGCCUACCAAGGCGACGAC
Molecule: ribosomal RNA, 250 nt
Filed under: uncultured bacterium
Lineage: Bacteria
Description: partial 16S ribosomal RNA
Rfam family: Bacterial small subunit ribosomal RNA
Source: RNAcentral